RNAcentral lists this ribosomal RNA (584 nucleotides) under Trichoderma chromospermum. RNAcentral's name for it is "eukaryotic LSU rRNA". The stretch from base 217 to 370 matches the Rfam family "5.8S ribosomal RNA". The record is from RNAcentral. Lineage: Eukaryota; Fungi; Ascomycota; Sordariomycetes; Hypocreales; Hypocreaceae. RNAcentral also lists the same sequence under 1 other name.
UCUCCGUUGGUGAACCAGCGGAGGGAUCAUUACCGAGUUUACAACUCCCAAACCCAAUGUGAACGCUACCAAACUGUUGCCUCGGCGGGGUCGCGCCCCGGGUGCGUAGAAGCCCCGGAACCAGGCGCCCGCCGGAGGAACCAACCAAACUCUUCCUGUGGUCCCCUCGCGGACGUUAUUUCUCACAGCUCUGAGCAAAAAUUCAAAAUGAAUCAAAACUUUCAACAACGGAUCUCUUGGUUCUGGCAUCGAUGAAGAACGCAGCGAAAUGCGAUAAGUAAUGUGAAUUGCAGAAUUCAGUGAAUCAUCGAAUCUUUGAACGCACAUUGCGCCCGCCAGUAUUCUGGCGGGCAUGCCUGUCCGAGCGUCAUUUCAACCCUCGAGCCCCCCCGGGGGAUCGGCGUUGGGGAUCGGGACCCCUCACCGGGUGCCGGCCCCGAAAUGCAGUGGCGGUCUCGCCGCAGCCUCUCCUGCGCAGUAGUUUGCACAACUCGCACCGGGAGCGCGGCGCGUCCACGUCCGUAAAACACCCAACCUUCUGAAAUGUUGACCUCGGAUCAGGUAGGAAUACCCGCUGAACUUAA